ACAGAUGAAAAAUUUGCCUACAUUAUACUUUGGGAUAACGUAGUACCUCUACAUAAAUUUUAGUAAAAUCCAUGAUCCGAAGGCCAGAUACUUUCCUUCUUCAUAGAUUUUUUGUAACUUUGACGACAUAAAGAAUUUUUUUGCAACUCAAAAUUAGCAGCUGACCCUUUAAGGUAGAGCGCAGUACGUUUCGCAUUUGAUUGACGGGGAACGCAUGCGCCCUAAAAACUUUUCCCCAACGCACCCAUACAUGGCUGACGGUACCGAGAGCUGCUGCCGGGAUCGAUCGAGGCCGAAAGACCAGCAGUGCGUCGAGCCUGUUACCAUCGUCCCGUUGAAACAGCGCGGAAAUUUGGAAUAAGUGAAUAUGGGUAAACAUCUGCAAACCGUUGCGGCAAUGGCCUGCAUGAAGACGCUGUUGAUACUCUUCAAUUUUGCAUUUGGGUGCACCGGAGUACUGAUGCUGUGUGUUGGGAUCUGGAUGCGUAUUCAGCUCCGAGAGUACGUAGAUAUGAGCAUUGAAGGUAGCGGUGCAGCGCCUUUGGCUCUGGCCUGCCUCGGCAUCCUCGUAGUCGUAGCUUCUAUCUUGGCAUGUUGUUGUACGGCACGUGGACAUCCGGCACUCUUAUACCUUUACGGAGCAUUCUUGGCGGUUGUGGUACUCCUAGAGUUGGGAUCAGGUGCCUCCGUUUAUGCAUAUCGCAACGCUCUGACCGAGGGCUUCGAUCAAGGGCUCAAUGAAAGCUUGGUUCUCUAUGUAGACGACCCCAACAAACACCAUGAUAUCGAUACCAUGCAGUCUACCUUGCAUUGCUGUGGAAACCGCGGCUACACUGACUGGCACUCCAUAAACUUACCGGAAGAGAUUCCUAAAUCUUGCUGCAAGCAGCUUGAAAACCCGUGUGACUCUUCGAAUCUGGAUAACGUGUAUACUCAGGGUUGCUACAACCGAGUUGUCGACUUCAUAAACAGCAACAUUGGGUUGGUGGCUGGUAGUGCUGUAGGUGUUGCAUUCUUUCCUCUCAUUGGAGUCUUCCUUGCUUGUUGUCUGGCUAGUAAUAUCAACAAAGCCAAAUACGAGCAAGUUGCGUAAUUGAAUGACGCUGCGUGACGGUUAAUCACGAGAGAACGCAAUUAAACUAACAGAAACAAAAAUCAAAAUUUCUACACAUUGAGCGUCAUUGAGAGGGAGGUGGUGCCUGAAAUCUGGUAGCAGGCAGAACUGGAAUCCUUGAUUUCAGAAGAAGCAUUCGAGUCAUGGCAGUGAACAAACUACGCUUAUUAAGUCGAAUUUAAUUACAAAACUGGCUUUUUAUCGAAUAUUUUAUUCUAUAUUAACUCAAUGUCAUGAAAUGAAAACCGAAAAGCUUGUACGAAGUUUUCUGUGCUGUAAGAUUUAAGUGAUUAAUCUAAUCGAUCAGCUGAUUACCGCUCACGUCGCCGUAUUGUUUUAAGAGGAUGUUAUAAUCAGUCCAUACUGACCGCGAUAAAUGUCACUUAUUUUGACCAUUAUCAAAGCCUCUGCAACACUGAUGUAGAAAUACCAUAGCCAGCGCAAUUCUACAUGUAAUGGCUAUUAUAAAUAUCAAAAAAAGUUUUCUUUCACGUAACAAUAACGCCACGAAAUGUAUUGUUAUAAUUGAAUUAUCGCUUAUUGCA
RNA transcript from Neodiprion virginianus, 1659 nucleotides. It is a transcript of the gene named tetraspanin-7-like, with no coding region annotated. The record is from RefSeq and is a predicted model, not a curated record. Lineage: Eukaryota; Metazoa; Arthropoda; Insecta; Hymenoptera; Diprionidae. The transcript is spliced from 6 exons.